Molecule: ribosomal RNA, 466 nt
Filed under: uncultured Pseudomonadota bacterium
Lineage: Bacteria; Pseudomonadati; Pseudomonadota
Description: bacterial SSU rRNA
Rfam family: Bacterial small subunit ribosomal RNA
Source: RNAcentral
AACGCUGGCGGUAGGCUUAACACAUGCAAGUCGUGCGAGAAAGUAUCUUCGGAUAUGAGUAGAGCGGCGAACGGGUGAGUAACGCGUAGGAAUGUACCUAGUAGAAGGGGAUAGCCCGAGGAAACUCGGAUUAAUACCGUAUACCUCCUUCGGGAGAAAGAAGGCCUCUCUUUGAAGCUUUCGCUACUAGAUCAGCCUGCGUAAGAUUAGCUUGUUGGUGAGGUAAUGGCUCACCAAGGCUACGAUCUUUAGCUGGUCUGAGAGGACGAUCAGCCACAUUGGGACUGAGACACGGCCCAGACUCCUACGGGAGGCAGCAGUGGGGAAUAUUGGACAAUGGGCGCAAGCCUGAUCCAGCCAUACCGCGUGUGUGAAGAAGGCCUUCGGGUUGUAAAGCACUUUAAGCAGGGAGAAAAAAAUAUAGGUUAAUACCCUAUGUUCUUGAUGUUACCUGCAGAAUAAGCAC